RNAcentral lists this ribosomal RNA (510 nucleotides) under uncultured bacterium. RNAcentral describes it as "partial 16S ribosomal RNA". It matches the Rfam family "Bacterial small subunit ribosomal RNA", at positions 355 to 856 of the family's 1533-position model. The record is from RNAcentral.
UGGGGAAUAUUGCACAAUGGGCGCAAGCCUGAUGCAGCCAUGCCGCGUGUAUGAAGAAGGCCUUCGGGUUGUAAAGUACUUUCAGCGAGGAGGAAGGCGAUAAGGUUAAUAACCUUGUCGAUUGACGUUACUCGCAGAAGAAGCACCGGCUAACUCCGUGCCAGCAGCCGCGGUAAUACGGAGGGUGCAAGCGUUAAUCGGAAUUACUGGGCGUAAAGCGCACGCAGGCGGUCUGUUAAGUCAGAUGUGAAAUCCCCGGGCUCAACCUGGGAACUGCAUUUGAAACUGGCAGGCUUGAGUCUUGUAGAGGGGGGUAGAAUUCCAGGUGUAGCGGUGAAAUGCGUAGAGAUCUGGAGGAAUACCGGUGGCGAAGGCGGCCCCCUGGACAAAGACUGACGCUCAGGUGCGAAAGCGUGGGGCAGCAAACAGGAUUAGAUACCCUGGUAGUCCACGCUGUAAACGAUGUCGACUUGGAGGUUGUUCCCUUGAGGAGUGGCUUCCGGAGCUAAC